GAACCGGGAGGUUUGCUGGAGGUAUCAGAAGUGCGAAUGCUGACAUGAGUAACGAUAAGGGGGGUGAAAAACCUCCCCGCCGGAAGAUCAAGGUUUCCUGUCCAACGCUAAUCGGGACAGGGUGAGUCGGCCCCUAAGGCGAGGCAGAAAUGCGUAGUCGAUGGAAAGCGGAUUAAUAUUCCCGCACUUGUUUAUAUUGCGAUGGAGGGACGGAGUAGGCUAGGUCAUCAGGGCGUUGGUUGUCCCUGUUUAAGGCUGUAGGCAGACUGCUUAGGUAAAUCCGGGUGGUCCCCUUUUAGUAGGGAAUGCUGAGAGCUGAUGACGAGCUUUAGUGCGAGCUAAAGUGAAGUGAUCGAUGCCAUGCUUCCAAGAAAAGCUUCUAAGCUUCAGAUAUAAACGAACCGUACUGUAAACCGACACAGGUGAUCAGGUAGAGAAUACCAAGGCGCUUGAGAGAACUCGGGUGAAGGAACUAGGCAAAAUGGUACCGUAACUUCGGGAGAAGGUACGCUCUUUUUGGUGAUCGGACUUGCUCCGUAAGCUGAGGAGAGUCGAAGUGACCAGGUGGCUGCGACUGUUUAUUAAAAACAUAGCACUGUGCAAACACGUAAGUGGACGUAUACGGUGUGACGCCUGCCCGGUGCCGGAAGGUUAAUUGAUGGGGUUAUCUUCGGAGAAGCUCUUGAUCGAAGCCCCGGUAAACGGCGGCCGUAACUAUAACGGUCCUAAGGUAGCGAAAUUCCUUGUCGGGUAAGUUCCGACCUGCACGAAUGGCGUAACGAUGGCCACACUGUCUCCACCCGAGACUCAGUGAAAUUGAAAUUGCGGUUAAGAUGCCGUAUACCCGCGGCUAGACGGAAAGACCCCGUGAACCUUUACUAUAGCUUCACAGUGGACUCUGACUUUACUUGUGUAGGAUAGCUGGGAGGCUUUGAAGUGGUGGCGCUAGCUAUCAUGGAGCCAACCUUGAAAUACCAGCCUGGUAACGUUGGGGUUCUAACUCAGGUCCAUUAUCUGGAUCGAGGACAUUGUGUGGUGGGUAGUUUGACUGGGGCGGUCUCCUCCCAAAGAGUAACGGAGGAGCACGAAGGUGCGCUAAUCAUGGUCGGAAAUCAUGAGGUUAGUGUAAAGGCACAAGCGCGCUUGACUGCGAGUCUGACAAGACGAGCAGGUACGAAAGUAGGUCUUAGUGAUCCGGUGGUUCUGAAUGGAAGGGCCAUCGCUCAACGGAUAAAAGGUACUCCGGGGAUAACAGGCUGAUACCGCCCAAGAGUUCACAUCGACGGCGGUGUUUGGCACCUCGAUGUCGGCUCAUCACAUCCUGGGGCUGAAGCCGGUCCCAAGGGUAUGGCUGUUCGCCAUUUAAAGUGGUACGCGAGCUGGGUUUAGAACGUCGUGAGACAGUUCGGUCCCUAUCUGCCGUGGGCGUUGGAGAAUUGAGGGAAGCUGCUUCUAGUACGAGAGGACCGAAGUGGACGAACCCCUGGUGUUCGGGUUGUGUCGCCAGACGCAUUGCCCGGUAGCUACGUUCGGACAGGAUAACCGCUGAAAGCAUCUAAGCGGGAAGCCCCUCCCAAGACUAGUUCUCCCUGGGAAUUUAAUUCCCCUGAAGGGCCGUCCAAGACUAGGACGUUGAUAGGCUGGGUGUGUAAGCGUUGUGAGGCGUUGAGCUAACCAGUACUAAUUGCCCGUGAGGCUUGACCAU
RNAcentral lists this ribosomal RNA (1705 nucleotides) under marine sediment metagenome. Its description in RNAcentral is "bacterial LSU rRNA". It matches the Rfam family "Bacterial large subunit ribosomal RNA", at positions 1258 to 2925 of the family's 2925-position model. The record is from RNAcentral.